UUUGGAUGUGGUGGUUCCAGAGUCGGGGUUUUGGGGGCGAGAUGAGCUUACGUUUUAUCCAACUGGCCCACAAAGUCCCUCUUCUGGAGCUCACGUUGGUCUG
This 103-nucleotide microRNA precursor is filed under the name Podarcis lilfordi (Lilford's wall lizard). The stretch from base 15 to 89 matches the Rfam family "mir-193 microRNA precursor family". Lineage: Eukaryota; Metazoa; Chordata; Lepidosauria; Squamata; Lacertidae. The record is from RNAcentral.